This 468-nucleotide ribosomal RNA is filed under the name uncultured bacterium. RNAcentral describes it as "partial 16S ribosomal RNA". It matches the Rfam family "Bacterial small subunit ribosomal RNA", at positions 28 to 507 of the family's 1533-position model. The record is from RNAcentral.
GACGAACGCUGGCGGCGUGCUUAACACAUGCAAGUCGAACGGAAAGGCCCUGCUUUUUUGCGGUGCUCGAGUGGCGAACGCGGGAGUAACACGUGAGUAACCUGCCCUUGACUUUGGGAUAACUUCAGGAAGCUGGGGCUAAUACCGUAUAGCAUCUCCUGUUGCAUGGUGGGGGUUGGAAAUUUUCGGCGGUUGGGGUUGGACGGGCGGCUUAUCAGCUUGUUGGUUGGGUAGUGGCUGACCAAGGCUUUGACGGGUAGCCGGCCUGAGAGGGUGACCGGCGUCAUUGGGCCUGAGAUAGGGCCCAGUGGGCAAUGGGAGGCAACAGUGGGGAAUAUUGCACAAUGAGCGGGAGCGUGAUGAGGAAGCGCCGCGUGCGGGAUGACGGCUUUUGGGGUGUAAACAGCUUUAGCCUGUGACGAAGCGUGAGUGACGGUAAUGAGUAAAGAAGCACCGGCUAACUACGUG